CGCGCAAAGGCCCUGGGUACGAGGUUGUUUCUUUUAGGUCUUGACUGAUAUUAGCCAAGAGCUGGUAGAGCUCGGUAACACUUUUCUCUUGGAAAUGAAAGCGUAGUAUUUUACGUAAUCGUGGUAAUGUCAACCCAUUUAUUCCCUCCAAAUAACUUCGUAGUUGUAACCCAGCCUGAACAGCUCUAACAACAGCAUGGGUAAUUUCCUCUUCUGUGUAACCCUUUUGCAGCCCAAUUUCAAUCUGUGAAAUGAGUGACUGAUAUGCUAGUUUAUCUUUAUGUCCUGGCUCUCCGAUUUGUCCUUGUAUCUUGAAUUCCCGACGGAGCAUGCUUGUUUUCAUGUUAAGAAAUGCACUUUAAUUGUGGCUUAUCUUGUUGUGUUACUGAUUCACUAGUUAUAGUUAUGUCCUCAGUUGUUUCAUUUUGCGUUUGGACAGUAUUUAUUUGAUCUUUUAGUUUUUCCUGCUCUACUAGUAACUUUUCAUACUGUGUUUUGAGCUGUUUCAGUUCCUGUUCACUCUUUUCUUUUGCUUUCACACUUUCCUCAUUUUGACUCAUUGUUUUGCUGUCUAAAAUAGUUUGUAUUUUCCCCAAUAGACUGUCAAGCUGCUCGCUAUUACACUUAAGUACUUCUUCUUCAAAUACUGUACGUAUAAUUUUAAUCAGUUCCAACCUACCCUUUUCUCCGAUUUCUUCUACCUUUAUCCAUUUCUUCUCCAAAUCGGGCUAAUUCCAUUCGUUUUAAGCCCAUCAUACGAGACUGAAGCUCUAUAAUCAAAUCUUCUGACAUUUUCCAACAGUAGAUCGUCCAACUUCCCGUUGUAGAAUUUGUCUUAAACUUUUAUAUACAUAUAUAUACAAUAUCCACAAUUUGUCAAUAACUCACGUAUAUAAAGUAUCAUAAAUCUCGCAAAUCUCGUGUAUUUUCUCGCCCACACAUCGAUUUUUCUACAUAUUACCUUCCAUUGUCUCGGUGGGACCUCCAAAUGUUACUCCGAGUUCUUUUUAUUUUACAUUUUAUUCACUUUUAAAGGAGUAUUUUAAUAAAACUUUUACAAAACAUGUGUUCGUUAUUUUUUCGUUUUACAAAAGGGCUAGACUGUAUUGCUGAGCCCGUUUCUACAACACAACCGCUGACUAAGCGCUAGACUAUCUCGCUGAAUAUAAAGUUCCAGUCUUUAAAGCUGUUUCUUAAUUGUUUUCUCACACGGCUACAUUUUAUCGUGUUGCUUUGAAAGCCUCCUUAUUCCAUUCCAGCUCCUCCCCCCCCCCUUAAUGGAGUGUUUUCCAACGAGGAGGCCAGGUUGCUUAACCGCUCUCGUGGCAACGAUCGUGGCGUGAACCAUAGCUUCUUUCGAAAAUUGAAUUUUGAACAAACAAAGUUCGUCGUGUGUCACGAGAAUUGCCCAAAAAUUAAUGGUGAACAAACCAUGUUCUUUCGAAAGAGGCACGUUCAUACUAUUAGGCGAUGUGAAAUUUAUUGCUCUGCAUGCAACGAUUUUGAGGAAAUAUAUUGGACUCGAUGUUGGAGAGUGUAUUAGAUAAGUGACUAGCCUUGUAGUUAUUCAUAUCCUAUAGGCAUGUCGUUCAGUGCCAGUACUGACGACCGUACAAGUACGACGAAAACG
This 1630-nucleotide long non-coding RNA is filed under the name Paramuricea clavata. The record is from RNAcentral. Lineage: Eukaryota; Metazoa; Cnidaria; Anthozoa; Malacalcyonacea; Plexauridae.